Molecule: long non-coding RNA, 797 nt
Organism: Bos taurus (domestic cattle)
Lineage: Eukaryota; Metazoa; Chordata; Mammalia; Artiodactyla; Bovidae
Source: Ensembl
CCUAAUCCUCUCUCCUCCUGACCGCCCUCCCGCACCAUCCCCGCCCUGCAUGUGGGUCUCACUUCCAGAGGCAGCUGCCUCACGUUCAGCUCCUGACACCUUCAGAAACUCUGCUAAUAAAUGCAGAUCGGAAAGCAUUCGGCCCAGGGGGACCAAUUUCUUUUUCCAUCACCUGUGGCUUCUCAACGUGAAAUUAAAAGUCAGCAGCAAGUAAUUGCAGCUGGCGGCAGCUCCCAGGGUUCAGUGGCUGCCAGGGGACCAGGUCUGUGUGCUGCCUGCCCUCUGUCCCUCCCACCUCCCAUCCUGAGAUUGAGCAAACUACGCGAUUCUUGGCUUUUUCACAAAAAUGAGACCCACGGCACUGUCAGCAAGAGGCUAGGUCACUUCAGCAAUUGUCACUGCAUCUCUGACUGCCCCGUCAUCUCAGAGCUAUCCUGAGACCAUGUGCAGACUGGCCAUUGUAAGCACUGGGACAGAGCAGGAGGCCAGAGCAGCCUGGGCGGUGGGGCUGAGUGAGGGGGCACUGGGAAGCCGGGAUCCUUUGAACUGCAGGCUCUGUCAUCCUCAGCGUCACCGGACGGCCACCAGCGGCCAGACGUCUCUUCUGCAUUCAGAACGGAGCGUUUAUGGACAGCAGGUGGUGGCGGAUUUGCUCUGAAUGUGGCUUGUCCUUCCUGUGAGCUGCUGACCCGACUUGGGGAGGGGGCGCGGACUAAAGCAGCAGAUGCAGGGGGUACUUUCUGACUGCAAGGUGAAGAGGACUCGUAACUGGCAGAGGCUGCAUAGAAGAGGAGCAG